RNAcentral lists this small nuclear RNA (21 nucleotides) under Arabidopsis thaliana (thale cress). RNAcentral's name for it is "snRNA_00252". Lineage: Eukaryota; Viridiplantae; Streptophyta; Magnoliopsida; Brassicales; Brassicaceae. The record is from RNAcentral.
UAAACUUAUUAUUCAAACGCU